UUUUUUUUUUUUUUUUUUUUUUUUUUGGGGUGGUAGUAGAGAGGACAAGGAGAAAACCAAGAGCCACCAUAUCCUGAUAAAUUAUAACAUGCCUUUCUAAAAUUUUCCUCUUUAAUGGCUUCUUCCUGUUUUCUUUCAUCACUGUUGUUAAUACAUAAAACAUUACCAGAAACAUGAAAUCAUGGCACCUAAAAGGAUAUCAACAACUACACUUGAUUUAUGGCCUCUUAAUAGUUAAUGGUAGAAAUAAUUCUCAGCAUUUUGUUAAUGCUAUUGAUUAGACAUAGUGUACUUAAAAAUAAAAUUCAAAAAUUCUCAAAAGAAUAUUUUGUCUAAAAUAUCACUUUCUACAUUUAUACACACACAUAUCAUAUACACAGGUAUUUAUUCAUUCAGCAUCCAGAAAAUCUUAUGCAAUUGCCAUGACUUUUUUAUGAUUUGUACUAAACUGAAGAGUCAAAUAAAAAUAGGACACCAUUUCAAUAUCUUAUGUAAACUCAUAGGCAAAUAGGGGAAAAGAAGAAAGUAGCAACUGAAAAACUAAUCUAAAAUCUUUGCUUCAAAAAACAAGUAAUUUUUCUUCAAGUUGGCUAAAUAGUUUAUUCUUAUUAGUUGUGUAUAGUAUAUAUCACAUUUGAAUAGAUGAAUAGGAAAGACUUGCAGUGAAAUUUCAAAUUAUCAUAGUAGGAAGCUGCCCUAAUUCUUUUCCACUGCUUUUUUUUUUUUUUCCCCCAGUCAGGAAAAACAUUCGUAAAAUGGUACCUCCCUGAACUCUGUUAUCCCUCAGAUGUUAAGGUCACGGAGAAUCAUUUCAACCCAAGUCUCUUUAAAUUUAAAUAUAGGACUCAAUUUUUAAGAGAUUCCAAUAAAGGAUGGGGGGGGGUAUGUGGGUGGGUAGGAAUUGGGGAUACAGUCCCCUCUCUGAUAAUCUGAGCAAAAAAGGCUGUGCUUAAAGUUUUGAGCCAUAAAUUGUGUUGGUGCUUCUCAUCUUCCCUGUAUCAAAACUGCCUGUGUGCAUGAAGGCUGAUGAAAAUGGAAGUUAUGUUCUCCCUCCUUCCAUUACUUAUUUUGUAUCUCUCUGCCCACUUUGUGGCUUGAGUUAUUCAAGUAUAUAGGUUCCUGUAGUAGAUUGUCACAGGUUCCUUACAAACCAGUGGCGUAUGUAAACCACCUUGAAGAGGAUGCCUGUUCCAAGACAAUGAGCAUCAGAUAGGGAAUAAUGAAGGAAGGUGCUGAAUCUAAGCUAAAAGUGGAGAAGGAAAAAGAUCAUUAAGACUGACUAAACUGUUUCAAUUCUAACAGAAGAAUAAUCUUUUUCACUGUCAAUUUUUAAAAGGCUAUUAAAAGUAUUAAUGCCAAAGAUAAAUACAAUUCUAUGGGAGUUCCCACUGGGGCUCAGCAGUAGCAAACCCGACCAGUAUCCAAAGGAUAUGAGUUUGAUCCCUGGCCUCGCUCAGUGGGUUAAGUAUCCAGCAUUGCCAGGAACUGUGGUGUAGGUCAGACACAGCUCAGAUUCUGUGUUGCUGUGGCUGUGGCAUAAGCCAGGAGCUGCAUUUCCAGUUUGACCCCUAGCCUGGGAAUUACCAUAAGUCACAUGUGUGCUUCUGAAAAGCAAAAAAAAAAACAAGUCUUCUUCAUGAUUUGGACCAAAUCAAACCUCUUCCAUGAAAUUAUAGAAUUUAAACUUUGUCUAACUGUGGGGGUAAAUCAGAAACUUUUCUAUUUAUAAGGUUUUGAAGAUGAGUCAUUUGGGUUAUAAAUCAGUUUUAAAAAUUUUUAUAAUAAAACGUAUAGUAGACCUGUUGUAAACAAUUUGAGGAAUUCAAGUACACUGAGCCUCAUACAUUUUCUUGUCUAAUGAGUCACACACAGUCACAUAUAUUCAACAUAUUCCAGGACAAUUCUAAACGUGCUUGCUUCCUAUGAAAACACGUCUAUUUAGGUGAUUACUUUACUGACACUGGAAGAAUAUUCUGGUCAUUAUGUCCAGCCUUAUUUCUGAAUUUUCUUUUGAAGUAUAUUUGUACAUUGAAGGUAAAUAUACAUAGAGAAAACAAUUUAGCAUAAAAAGGUAGAAAAUAUGCCUACAUACCUAAGGCCUUCGAAAAUAAUCAUGCCGCUUAUGUACUGAUGACUGUUUAGAUAAUACAUUUUUACUUUGCAGGAACAUAUAGUUUAAGCUUUGUAUUUGCAAAUCAGGGCAUAAAAGGGGGCCUUUAUCAUAAUAUCUACUAUGAUAAAGCUAUGGCUCCCUUCAUUUGAGGGGUUCAUCAAGCGUACACAAAUUUGGAUGUGUGGUAAAAAUAUUUCAUGCAUAGCUGAUGUGUACCUUUAAAUAUUGGGGCUCUCUUCCAUGUUCUUAUCAGUAACAGCCACUCUCUGAAAAAAGGGCCCAGAUAUACAGUGGAGUGAAUGUGGAUUUUAAAUGGAGUGUGUUACUCCUUCCCACUCUACUGAAUGAACUGUUAAAAGACCAAGAAGGCUGUCAUAGAGAUAUCACAGGAAAUAAAGAACUCCAAGCCAAGGGUGUGUCCAAUGGGGUUGGCAUGGAAUGACAGACCGCCCUCCCCACAUGGAAAAUCUCGUCACCCAUCUGAGAUAUCACAUAACGGUGGCAGCGCUCCAGAGACAGAAUGAGCUCCACCUGUUUGCAAUGUGUUUAGCUAUUAAUAUUUAUGUAGUAAUUCAAGGGAGUAAAAAAUGACAAAAUGAACCAAGUUGUAUCACUGUUGGUGCUUUCAACCAAGAUUU
RNAcentral lists this long non-coding RNA (2751 nucleotides) under Sus scrofa (pig). RNAcentral's name for it is "lncRNA (ENSSSCG00005005692.1)". The record is from RNAcentral. Lineage: Eukaryota; Metazoa; Chordata; Mammalia; Artiodactyla; Suidae.